Molecule: ribosomal RNA, 1426 nt
Filed under: Myxobolus sp.
Lineage: Eukaryota; Metazoa; Cnidaria; Myxozoa; Bivalvulida; Myxobolidae
Description: SSU rRNA
Rfam family: Eukaryotic small subunit ribosomal RNA
Source: RNAcentral
UCUUGGUUGGAUCUGCCAGUGUGCAUACGCUCUUUUUAAAGACUAAGCCAUGCAGGUGAUAGUUCAUACAUUUAAAAUGUGAGACUGCGGAAGGCUCAGUAAAUCAGUUAUAAUCUGCUCGAUUGUAUAGGUUAUUGGAUAACCGUGGGAAAUCUAGAGCUAAUACAUGUAAUUGGGGAAUAAUCUCGGUUAUUCUCAUGGCAUUUAUUAGACAAUUACCAAUCGUGGGGCAACUCAUGUGGUGAAUCUAGAUAACUUAGCAGAUCGUAUGGCCUAGUGCCGGCGAUGUUUCGAUUGAAUUUCUGCCCUAUCAACUAUUGUCGGUAGUGUAGUGGACUACCGAGGUUUUUACGGGUGACGGGGGAUCAGGGUUCGAUUCCGGAGAGGGAGCCUGAGAAACGGCUACCACAUCCAAGGAAGGCAGCAGGCGCGCAAAUUACCCAAUCCAGACAAUGGGAGGUGGUGACGAAAAGUACCAGAUGACGGCCAAAGGUUGUCAAUCUGGAAUGGAAUCAAUUUAAGCAAUUGAUUGAGGAACGACUUGAGGGCAAGUCUGGUGCCAGCAGCCGCGGUAAUUCCAGCUCAAGUAGCGUAUCCCAAAGUUGCUGCGCUUAAAACGCUCGUAGUUGGAUCACAAACUAUAUGCGAGUUGGCGUGGUACUGUUCCAAAUGUAAGGAUUCAACGGAAUGUCCUCAUUUCGCGGAUGAUUUAUGUGGUGCAGUUUCAUUGCCGUAGGCUUGUGUGUAGUAAUUGCACGUGAGGAUAGACAUUCGCCUUGAAUGAGUAGAUGUCUGUGUCUCACGGAGUGUGCCUUGAAUAAAUCAAAGUGCUUAAAGCAGGCUAUACGCUUGAAUGUUAAAGCAUGGAACGAACAAUCGUGUAGGGUGCAUGAUGAUUUAUGGGUGCAGGGCCUAGCCAGGCAUUCAUCAUCAUGUGACACCGACCACCAAUAACGGAUGUUGGUUCCGUAUUGGGGUAUUGAUUAAGAGGAGCGGUUGGGGGCAUUGGUAUUUGGCAGCGAGAGGUGAAAUUCUUGGACCUGCCAAGGACUAACAAAUGCGAAGGCAUCUGUCCAGACCGUAUCCAUUAAUCAAGAACGAUAGUGAGAGGUUCGAAGACGAUCAGAUACCGUCCUAGUUCUCACUGUAAACCAUGCCGACCCGGGAUCAGUUUGGAGCUUUAUUCCAUGCUCGGAGUUGGUCCCCCUGGGAAACCUAAAGUUUUUCGGUUGCGGGGGGAGUAUGGUCGCAAGGCUGAAACUUAAAGGAAUUGACGGAAGGGCACCACCAGGGGUGGAGCCUGCGGCUUAAUUUGACUCAACACGGGAAAACUUACCUGGUCCGAACAUCCGUAGGAUACACAGACUAAUAGAUCUUUGUUGAUGGGGUGAAAAGUGGUGCAUGGCCGUUCUUAGUUCGUGGAGUG